UAUAUCCGUAUUCCGUGGAUUCCACUAUUUGUUGAUAUAGAUAAGUGAUAACAAUAAAAAUUGAUAGUGAAUAGUGAUCCGGUGAUUGGAUAACGGAUAUAAUAUUAUUAUUAUUCUACUGGUUAGUACUUAUAUCUUAGUUCGUGUCAGUUUUCGCAAGUGUUUUGGUUUUUGGCUUUUACUCUGCUGGAAAUUGACACAACUGAUUGAUUCAUUAGUUGGAAUACAAAAUAUUUUAAAUACAUUUGGUGAACCAUGGUCAACAAAUGUGGAGUAAAGGGUUGUAAGACAACUGCUAUCAAAGGGUCAAAAGUGUGUGUGUUUCCUAAAGCUGGUAUUUGCCGUUUAUGGGUAAAUGCUGUGCAACAAUAUCAACUAAAUUUUUUUCCAAGUCAACAGUCAAUUAUAAUAUGUAAAUCUGUACAGUCUGUAGUUUCUGUUGAAGAAAUUGAAGUUAUUAUGGACGGUGUAUUAUCUGAGAAUACUGCAAAACCAUGUAUUUUUUUUAAUUGUUAUUUUAACAUUGACACACUUAAAAUGAAACACUCUAAGCAUCUAUUGCACCAAAUAAAAUUAUUUGAUGAAUCCUCAUUGCAAGAUUUACAUAUCCAUGUUGAAUUUAUCCACUUUAUCUCCACAACUUGUUGGAGAGUAGCCCAGGCAUCGCUGUCAAAAUAUCUUUUUAUGUCAUCAAUCGCAAGAUACUGCAAUACUGGCCACAUCCUUAUCCACAAACCAAUUUGACAUUUCAAAAUGUCUAGUCAAAACAUCAAGUUUUUCAAAAGGAACUAAACUUGAAACCUUUUUUCGUUUUGCAAUACCAAUGGCAGUUUUGUUUUUACCUAAAAUAUAAAGUAUGAAAAUAAAUUUCAUCAAGGAUAAUCAUUCGAAAAUAUAUGGAAUAUACAAUCACCUUUUGGACGUCCUCUUUUUGGAACUUUUGGAGUAUUUCUUCAUCCAUGUGUACUAUAUCGUCAUCCAUGUGUAAUACACCGUCAUCCAUGUGUAUUAUAUUGUCAUUGGCAAAUUCAUCAUUUUUUUCUGUUUGUUUCAGUAAGUUAUCUAAAAAAUAAUUAUUUAAUUGUUAAAUUUGAUAUGUAGAUCUACUUAUUUUACUGAGUCAAUAUACCUAUGUCUUCAAGUUGAAUGGGAUCUCCCACUUUUCUGAAAUAUAUUUAAGAAUGUUUAAUCUGCGCAGGUAUUCUUGUCCUGUUGCUUCUGACGUUAGAGAAGCAAGCCUCUUAGCCUCUACAUGUGCUUUCGUAUAUUUUUCAUGUAGGUUUAAAAUGUGCUUUGGUUUCUUAAGUUCUAUUUCUAGUUAAAUUUAUGGAAACAAUUUUAAAAAAAUAAGUCAGAAAAGGCCAAUUCUUGCAUGGAAGCUUUUAAAUAUGCACCUAUGUUUCCUAACAUUAAAUGUCUUUUAACAAUUCUUAGUGUCAUACCUAUAACAACAGCAAUUGCUGAAAGGUCAUUCAGUUAUUAUUCACUUAUACAUCAAAAUAUUAUAAAUUAGAUUCUGGAUCAUUCUUAUUUCCAUCAGUGAAGUCUGAAGUUUCUGACGAAGAAAUUGAAGUCAUUAUAGAUUAUGUAUUAU
Molecule: long non-coding RNA, 1594 nt
Organism: Acyrthosiphon pisum (pea aphid)
Lineage: Eukaryota; Metazoa; Arthropoda; Insecta; Hemiptera; Aphididae
Exons: 6
Source: RefSeq, a predicted model, not a curated record